This is an unclassified non-coding RNA of Pongo abelii (Sumatran orangutan), 148 nucleotides long. It matches the Rfam family "Metazoan signal recognition particle RNA". From Rfam's summary of the family: The signal recognition particle (SRP) is a universally conserved ribonucleoprotein. NCBI's taxonomy places the organism in Eukaryota, Metazoa, Chordata, Mammalia, Primates, Hominidae. The record is from Ensembl.
GCCGGGCGUGGUGGCGCAUGCCUGUAGUCCCAGUUACUUAGGAGGCUGAGGCAGGAGAAUCACUUGAACCUGGGAGACAGAGGUUGCAGUGAGCUGAGAUCAGGCCACUGCACUCCAGCCUGGGUGACAGAAUGAGACUCCGCCUCAA